UUGUUCCUGCAGGCAGAAGAAGGCAGCCGCUUUAAUUCACAGUUACACUGCUCUCUAUGUGAGCUCAUCUCCAGGCUUUUUUGCACAAGCAUAGCGCCCAAUUGUGUGUGCAGUCAUUCAUGCUGGCGUGUGCCCCCUCUGCCCCGUCUGAAAUGCAUUGAAGGUGCUAAAGAUGAAGGAAAGGAUCAAAUAGUUUGUUCCAGUGCACGCCAUGCUCUAAUUUGCAAAUAUGAUGAUUUAGAAAAAAUACUUCGGCUUGCACCUGCUGUUACUUCAAACUCAAUGGAUCACAAGAUUCUAGAAUUCUGGAUUUAAACGGACCCUCAAUCCUUUGAACAGCUAGACAUAGAAAGACUUGAUCCACCUGUGCAUCGUUGGUUGAAUGUGAAGAUCAUUUUGUAUUAUUACCGGUUUUCACCUGGUAAGUAAAAUGAAAUAUGAACACAUAGACUUGGAUGUCUUGGAUGUUCUCCUGACUUUUUUGUUUUUUUUUUCUUAUAUUGUACAUUAAUCUCUUUAUAUCUGGAUAUUCCAUAUCCAUUAUGGCUUAAUAUGAGGACUGUGAUGUAAUAGUGUGCUGAUGAGGAAGAUGUUUGCUGGUCCAUCAACACUAGUUAACGUUGUUUUGCAGUGCUUUACAUGUAAUUGAAUAACAGAAAAGUGAUUCCACUAAUGUUACCCGCUCAACUGAAUUUCUCUUGUUGUUUUUUUAAGGCUGUUUUAUACAUUUACAACCUUUCAUAUUGAUAUUGCUUUGUUUAUAGGAGCUGUUUAGAUGUUUAAUUACUGUAAUUGGUUUAUGGUCACUGAACAAUGAGUUUGUAGGCAAAUUGUGGUGACUU
Spea bombifrons (plains spadefoot toad) is the source of this 842-nucleotide long non-coding RNA. RefSeq lists it as uncharacterized. The record is from RefSeq and is a predicted model, not a curated record. Lineage: Eukaryota; Metazoa; Chordata; Amphibia; Anura; Pelobatidae. The transcript is spliced from 3 exons.